GCGACGAUUUUGAAUCAGAGGUUUUAGCUGGUGUUUAGAUCCUGGGUUCCUUCCCUUCCACCUCAGAGUUCAUGAGAGGAAGGGGCUCAGGGUCUAGACCUCAGAUAUAAGCUCUAGUGAAGUUGCCGU
Molecule: non-coding RNA, 129 nt
Organism: Marchantia polymorpha subsp. ruderalis
Lineage: Eukaryota; Viridiplantae; Streptophyta; Marchantiopsida; Marchantiales; Marchantiaceae
Source: the annotation of a GenBank genome assembly